UACAGAGGGGGCAAGCGUUGUUCGGAAUUACUGGGCGUAAAGGGCGCGUAGGCGGCCCGCUAAGUCGAACGUGAAAUCCCCGAGCUCAACUCGGGAACUGCGUCCGAUACUGGCGGGCUUGAAUCCGGGAGAGGGAUGCGGAAUUCCAGGUGUAGCGGUGAAAUGCGUAGAUAUCUGGAGGAACACCGGUGGCGAAGGCGGCAUCCUGGACCGGUAUUGACGCUGAGGCGCGAAAGCUAGGGUAGCAAACGGG
RNAcentral lists this ribosomal RNA (253 nucleotides) under uncultured bacterium. RNAcentral describes it as "partial 16S ribosomal RNA". It matches the Rfam family "Bacterial small subunit ribosomal RNA", at positions 524 to 776 of the family's 1533-position model. The record is from RNAcentral.